UCUGGUAAUGAUGGCAGAGAGGCCACACCCGUUCCCAUACCGAACACGGAAGUUAAGCUCUCUAGCGCCGAUGGUAGUUGGGA
RNAcentral lists this ribosomal RNA (83 nucleotides) under Bacillus anthracis (anthrax bacterium). The record is from RNAcentral. RNAcentral also lists the same sequence under 1 other name. Lineage: Bacteria; Bacillati; Bacillota; Bacilli; Caryophanales; Bacillaceae.